RNAcentral lists this ribosomal RNA (253 nucleotides) under uncultured bacterium. RNAcentral describes it as "partial 16S ribosomal RNA". It matches the Rfam family "Bacterial small subunit ribosomal RNA", at positions 524 to 776 of the family's 1533-position model. The record is from RNAcentral.
UACGUAGGGACCAAGCGUUGUUCGGAUUUACUGGGCGUAAAGGGCGCGUAGGCGGCGCGGUAAGUCACUUGUGAAAUCUCUGAGCUUAACUCAGAACGGCCAAGUGAUACUGCAGUGCUAGAGUGUGGAAGGGGCAAUCGGAAUUCUUGGUGCAGCGGUGAAAUGCGUAGAUAUCGGGAGGAACACCGGUGGCGAAGGCGGUUCUCUGGGCCUUACCUGACGCUGAGGAGCGAAAGCGUGGGGAGCGAACAGG